Molecule: unclassified non-coding RNA, 287 nt
Filed under: Acrocalymma sp.
Lineage: Eukaryota; Fungi; Ascomycota; Dothideomycetes; Pleosporales; Acrocalymmaceae
Description: partial contains 5.8S ribosomal RNA, internal transcribed spacer 2, and large subunit ribosomal RNA
Rfam family: 5.8S ribosomal RNA (bases 1-71)
Source: RNAcentral
GUGAGUCAUCGAAUCUUUGAACGCACAUUGCGCCCCUUGGUAUUCCAUGGGGCAUGCCUGUUCGAGCGUCAUUUGAACCCUCAAGCUCUGCUUGGUGUUGGGUGUUUGUCCCGCCAUUGCGCGUGGACUCGCCUUAAAGUGAUUGGCAGCCAUGUAAUUCGGCUUUGAGCGCAGCACAUUGCGUACUCUAUGCUGGUACAUUGGCAUCCAAAAGCCCUUUUUUUUACUCUUGACCUCGGAUCAGGUAGGGAUACCCGCUGAACUUAAGCAUAUCAAUAAGCGGAGGA